Molecule: transfer RNA, 73 nt
Filed under: Zootermopsis nevadensis
Lineage: Eukaryota; Metazoa; Arthropoda; Insecta; Blattodea; Termopsidae
Rfam family: tRNA
About the family: Transfer RNA (tRNA) molecules are approximately 80 nucleotides in length.
Source: Rfam by way of RNAcentral
GCCACGGUGGUCUAGUGGUCGGAACACUAGCCUUGUAAGCCUGGGGUCCCGGGUUCAAUUCCCGGUGGUGCUC